RNAcentral lists this ribosomal RNA (442 nucleotides) under uncultured bacterium. RNAcentral's name for it is "partial 16S ribosomal RNA". It matches the Rfam family "Bacterial small subunit ribosomal RNA", at positions 338 to 795 of the family's 1533-position model. The record is from RNAcentral.
CCUACGGGGUGCAGCAGUGGGGGAUAUUGCACAAUGGGGGAAACCCUGAUGCAGCGACGCCGCGUGGGCGAAGAAGUAUUUCGGUAUGUAAAGCCCUAUCAGCAGGGAAGAAGAAAUGACGGUACCUGAGUAAGAAGCACCGGCUAAAUACGUGCCAGCAGCCGCGGUAAUACGUAUGGUGCAAGCGUUAUCCGGAUUUACUGGGUGUAAAGGGAGCGCAGGCGGCGCGUUAAUCCUGGUGUGAAAGCCCGCGGCCCAACCGCGGGACUGCAUUGGGAACUGGCGCGCUGGAGUGCCGGAGGGGUAGGCGGAAUGCCUAGUGGAGCGGUGAAAUGCGUAGAUAUUAGGAGGAACACCAGUGGCGAAGGCGGCCUACUGGACGGUGACUGACGCUGAGGCUCGAAAGCGUGGGGAGCAAACAGGAUUAGAUACCCUUGUAGUC